RNAcentral lists this ribosomal RNA (301 nucleotides) under uncultured bacterium. RNAcentral's name for it is "partial 16S ribosomal RNA". It matches the Rfam family "Bacterial small subunit ribosomal RNA", at positions 509 to 807 of the family's 1533-position model. The record is from RNAcentral.
CAGUCGCCACGGGAAUACGGAGGGUGCAAGCGUUAAUCGGAAUUACUGGGCGUAAAGCGCACGCAGGCGGUCUGACAAGUCAGAUGUGAAAUCCCCGGGCUUAACCUGGGAACUGCAUUUGAAACUGUCAGGCUGGAGUCUUGUAGAGGGGGGUGGAAUUCCAGGUGUAGCGGUGAAAUGCGUAGAGAUCUGGAGGAAUACCGGUGGCGAAGGCGGCCCCCUGGACAAAGACUGACGCUCAGGUGCGAAAGCGUGGGGAGCAAACAGGAUUAGAUACCCGAGUAGUCCCUGUCUCUUAUAC